GGAUAUUAGGAACCAGCUUCCACAUGAGCUGUGUCCUGGGAUUGACCAGGGAGAUGAAGGGUGUCAAGACUAUAAGAAAGGAGAGUCUGUGGUGUCCACACUUGGAGUUUGGAAGCUCAUGUUAUCUCUCCUGUGCCCUAUCAGCAUCAUGGUGGUGGCAGCUCCGACUCUGCCUGCUCCUGCAUGACAUUUGCCAAAUCAUGCUGAAGAAGGAUAGGAAAUACCAGAAGGACACAUGAAUUUUGUAGUGCAGACAUAGAAAACAGGGAAUGAAAAAAGAAAAGAGAAAAGGGGAGAGAUCUGAAGCCAGAGUGGGCGUUGCGCCCUAGAACUGCCGACAGUUGCAGCCUAGAUAUGACGUGCAGCAGAGACGUCCCAGAUCUCCCAAGCAGAGUUCCGGCCCACUUUGAAGUGUUGACAAUAUGGAAAAUUAAAAGCAUCACAAUGAGAAUUAUCACAUUGUUUUUUCCACUUUGAUAGCCUCUACAAAGCA
This 493-nucleotide long non-coding RNA is filed under the name Fukomys damarensis (Damara mole-rat). Its description in RNAcentral is "lncRNA (ENSFDAG00000032721.1)". The record is from RNAcentral. Lineage: Eukaryota; Metazoa; Chordata; Mammalia; Rodentia; Bathyergidae.